This 253-nucleotide ribosomal RNA is filed under the name uncultured bacterium. RNAcentral's name for it is "partial 16S ribosomal RNA". It matches the Rfam family "Bacterial small subunit ribosomal RNA", at positions 524 to 776 of the family's 1533-position model. The record is from RNAcentral.
GACGUAGGGCGCGAGCGUUGUCCGGAUUUAUUGGGCGUAAAGAGCUCGUAGGCGGCUUGUCGCGUCGGCUGUGAAAUCCCGUGGCUCAACCGAGGAAGUGCGCGCGAAACUGCAUUGCUUGAGUACCGGAGAGGAUGGCGGAAUUCCCGAAGUAGAGGUGAAAUUCGUAGAUAUCGGGAGGAACACCGGUGGCGAAGGCGGCCAUCUGGACGGAUACUGACGCUGAGACGCGAAAGCGUGGGGAGCAAACAGG